UGGGGGUGCUCUUAGCUGUGAUUUGUAAGGUCCUUAGAAAUUCAGUGAAAGCCUAUUUUGGGGAGAUGAAGCAGCCUCUGACCAGUAGCUGGUGCUGGGGGCUCUGUGGCUGCAGCACCCCUGGACUGUGAGCUCAGGCAGUGUGAUGGAGAUAAUUCUCUUUUACAGGGAUGGAGAAGAGGAGUGAGGGAUCCUUGGGAGAGACAAGCAGAGGCCCUGCUGCUCUUUCUCCAGGAGCAGCCUAUCAAGAAGGGCCAUGAAAUGGCAUUGCAUAUCUCAGUCACAGCUACCCCUUCCCGACUGGAAAAGAGAUAAGGAUUGUUUUAUUUCAAGCUGUUGAGUAUGAAAAGAUAUUGUUUACCUCCCUCACAAAUAUCAUCAGAAAUAUGAUUAUUUGCAGUACAGUUUUUAUCUAAAUGCAUGAUGCCAAGGAUUAGCCAAAGGUAACCCAGGCUUUCAAAUCUAAAAAUUUUAAUCUAAAAUAUUUAAAAUAAUUUAAAAAUUAGAUUAUUUAAAUAUUUUAAUCUAAAAUAUUUAAAUUCAAAUCUAAAAAUAUUUAUCAUUUAUAAAUUAUAUAUAUUGAGGAACAAAUUUUAUAUAUUUAGGACCAAAUUACAUAUAUUUAGGACCAAGAUUCAGCCUUGAUAUUUGCAGUUUUAAAAUCUGAAUUUCUGGCCAGAAAUUUUGAAAUUUCAGUCCAGAGCUGCAUCUUCAGGCAUGCCAAAUAGCAGGCAGAUUCAAACAAGUUCUUCAUCUUUUGCUAGAAGUUAAAGAACUGACAAGCACUAGAGAAGGAAUUAUACAAAUUGGAUGUUUUAAAGAAAAAUUAGAGCGCCUGCAGUUUAUGUGGCUAUCCCAAGCUGUCUCCAGUAAUGUGUACUAACAGCUUAAACCUGAGACUUUGUAAUUUCUUACAACUACAGCUGUGUGCCAGCACUUUAAACAAUUCACCUAAGCAGCUACAGUUAAAGAGACCCAAUUUUCUAAAUCAGCUGGGAAAGAUAUUUCAUAGCAACACAGAAUUAAUAUUGUCCAACUUGUUAGAAUUAGUCAUGACUAUAAUUAAGAGCAUACACAGGAGUAGCCAUGGGAAAAACAGAUCUCUGAAGAACAUUUUUGGAAGCAAAAUUACAUAUUGAUCCCUAGUGAUAAUGGGCUAAUGCUUCAAGCUUGCAGGCAGAACAACAAGUCUUUUGAACCAUGAAAAAUGAACACACCAGAAGCUAAAUGAGAAAAUUAAUAAAUUGCAGGUGAAGCUGAAUAUUUUUGUAGGUGGUAGAAGGACAUCUUCAAUGAUAAAAACUUUUUUGAAAAAAUAACUUAUAUUUACUUUGCACUAAAUAAGUGCAGAAGGCAAAGUUUUAUGACAAGCAAUUCUGAGGGACUGGAUGGUCUGCUAGUAAGGAGAAGAAUGCUAAAACUAAAAUGAGUCAUUAAAAAUAGGUCAUUUGCUUAGCUGCAUGAGAUGCCUUAAACUAAGCAUUCUACAUGAUCAAAAAAAGGAAGCAAGAAGUAAAGCAGAGAGCACAUAUCUGUCACUGGCUGUCAUGGUGACAAAAAAAAGAACAAAAAAAA
Molecule: long non-coding RNA, 1575 nt
Filed under: Taeniopygia guttata (zebra finch)
Lineage: Eukaryota; Metazoa; Chordata; Aves; Passeriformes; Estrildidae
Description: lncRNA (ENSTGUG00000020733.1)
Source: RNAcentral